RNAcentral lists this unclassified non-coding RNA (157 nucleotides) under soil metagenome. RNAcentral's name for it is "partial internal transcribed spacer 1". The record is from RNAcentral.
GUGAUUAAAUCGAGCGUGUUCUUCAAUUGACCGCUCACCCUUCUCACCAUCCACAUACACCUGUGCACUGUUUAGCCUGAGCCGGUUUUCCGGUCCAGGUUAUCAUUUUCAUACAAACUCUAGUCUUACGAAUGUAAAACGUUUUAAUAACAUAAUA